GAUGAACGCUGGCGGCGUGCCUAAUACAUGCCAGUCGAGCGAACAGAUGAGGAGCUUGCUCCUCUGACGUUAGCGGCGGACGGGUGAGUAACACGUGGAUAACCUACCUAUAAGACUGGGAUAACUUCGGGAAACCGGAGCUAAUACCGGAUAAUAUAUUGAACCGCAUGGUUCAAUAGUGAAAGACGGUUUUGCUGUCACUUAUAGAUGGAUCCGCGCCGCAUUAGCUAGUUGGUAAGGUAACGGCUUACCAAGGCAACGAUGCGUAGCCGACCUGAGAGGGUGAUCGGCCACACUGGAACUGAGACACGGUCCAGACUCCUACGGGAGGCAGCAGUAGGGAAUAUUCCGCAAUGGGCGAAAGCCUGACGGAGCAACGCCGCGUGAGUGAUGAAGGUCUUCGGAUCGUAAAACUCUGUUAUUAGGGAAGAACAAAUGUGUAAGUAACUAUGCACGUCUUGACGGUACCUAAUCAGAAAGCCACGGCUAACUACGUG
Molecule: ribosomal RNA, 497 nt
Filed under: uncultured bacterium
Lineage: Bacteria
Description: partial 16S ribosomal RNA
Rfam family: Bacterial small subunit ribosomal RNA
Source: RNAcentral